RNAcentral lists this ribosomal RNA (482 nucleotides) under Streptococcus sp. oral taxon 066. RNAcentral describes it as "bacterial SSU rRNA". It matches the Rfam family "Bacterial small subunit ribosomal RNA", at positions 28 to 494 of the family's 1533-position model. The record is from RNAcentral. Lineage: Bacteria; Bacillati; Bacillota; Bacilli; Lactobacillales; Streptococcaceae.
GAUGAACGCUGGCGGCGUGCCUAAUACAUGCAAGUAGAACGCUGAAGCUUGGUGCUUGCACCGAGCGGAUGAGUUGCGAACGGGUGAGUAACGCGUAGGUAACCUGCCUGGUAGCGGGGGAUAACUAUUGGAAACGAUAGCUAAUACCGCAUAACAGUAGAUAUUGCAUGAUAUCUGCUUGAAAGGGGCAAUUGCUCCACUACCAGAUGGACCUGCGUUGUAUUAGCUAGUUGGUGAGGUAACGGCUCACCAAGGCGACGAUACAUAGCCGACCUGAGAGGGUGAUCGGCCACACUGGGACUGAGACACGGCCCAGACUCCUACGGGAGGCAGCAGUAGGGAAUCUUCGGCAAUGGACGGGAGUCUGACCGAGCAACGCCGCGUGAGUGAAGAAGGUUUUCGGAUCGUAAAGCUCUGUUGUAAGAGAAGAACGAGUGUGAGAGUGGAAAGUUCACACUGUGACGGAACUACCAGAAAGGACG